Anolis carolinensis (green anole) is the source of this 3578-nucleotide long non-coding RNA. NCBI's taxonomy places the organism in Eukaryota, Metazoa, Chordata, Lepidosauria, Squamata, Anolidae. The record is from Ensembl.
GAGGGAGGGGAGGAGUGGCCUGCAUAAGUUUUUUUUUAUUGGCCUUUUACAAGUACCAUGUUGUGCAGGCCUGACAUAAGGUGAAAUCUGGCAGUUGAAGAUCCUGCCAGAAAUCCAUUGAAUAGUGUGUACUAGGUGAGAAAUGGGACAUGUUCCUCUGUUUAAGAAAGAGACGUGCCUAGGUGAUUAUAGUGUAGUCCAUAGUACGAAAAGGUAGUCUGGGGUCAUACAGAAAAAGUCAUUGAAAAAAAUCUGGUUAAGACAUCCAGUGGUUUAAACUUCUACUCUUCAUUAAGUCUAGUCGUGUCCGACUCUGGGGGUUGGUGCUCAUCUCCAUAUCUAAGCCGAAGAGCUGGCGUUGUCCGUAGACACCUCCAAGGUCAUUUGGCUAGCAUGACUUCAUGGAGUGCCGUUACCUUCCUGCCGAAGCGGUAUCUAUUAAUCUAUUCACAUUUGCAUGUUUUCGAACUGCUAGGUUGGCAGAAGCUGGGGCUAACAGCGGGAGAUCACUCUGCUCCCCGGAUUCAAACCACCAACCUUUUGGUCAGCAAGUUCAGCAGCUCAGCAGUUUAAUCCACUGCACCACCGGGGGCUCCCAUUCAUGUGAAGAUGUGUUACUUAAAGGACUGAUAUGAUAACUGGAUGGAUCAAUAUUUCUUCUGCUUCUAAUAACAGAAGAAAUAAAUUAAAAUCAGCUGCCAAUAAAGGUGUCAUCAAUGUGCUCAUUUCUUUAGAUGGAAACAAAGAUAUAGGAGCUAUCUUAACUUUCCCUCCUCUAGUCCUACAUAUUCUGAUGGCAGUCCUUCAAAAAUGCUCUGUAAAGGAAGCAAUCCAGAGGCUCUAUGUUCUGAACGUUUGUCCUCAAGAAAAUAUAGAAAGAGAGAUGGAGCAGCCUGCUUUCCUGGUUCACAUCCAGAAGCGAAUCAUUCCUCUGACAGUACCAAAAGGGCACAGCUUCGAGACUAACUUUUUUUUUCUAAAGCACAGUAUUGGUCAAGGUUGCUAGGAGAAAUAAAUGGUAGGGUGUGGUUUUUACAGGCAGAAACAGGAAGAAAGUGGGAUAACUGUUUUCUUUAUAUUACAUUUUUAAAAGAAACUAAGUUUUCAAGUAGUCAUAGUUUCCUUUAAUCCAUAGUCCUUGGUGAGCAAGAGGAGAAAAUCCAGCUCAUUCACGGCUUAUUAAAUUCAGAAUUGUUCCAUUAUCCAGGUGGAGGUCACUAGGGGAUGCUAGAGAGAGAAGGAUACUCCAUUAGAUGGGGGGUGGAGGAUGGGCUGAAGGAGUAAAACCAUUUCCCCCUGUUUUCCUAUUAUUCCCCCCACCCAUGUUCCUGUCAGGGUUGUUGUAUGUUUUCCGGGCUGUAUGGCCAUGUUCUAGAAGUAUUCUCUCCUGACGUUUUGCCCACAUCUAUGGCAGGCAUCCUCAGAGGUUGUGAGGUAUGGAGAAACUAAGCAAGGAAGGUUUAUAUAUAUCUGUGGAAAGUCCAGGGUGAGAGAAGAACUCUUUGUCAGUUGGAGGCCAGUGUGAAUGUUGUAGUUAAUCACCUUAAUUAGCAUUGAAUAGCAUCAUCUCCUGGCUUCUUCCUGCCUGGAGGCAUCCUUUGUUCAGAGUCGUUAGCUGCCCCUGGUUCCCAUGUCUGGAACUCCUCUGUUUUCAGAGUGUUGCUUCUUAUUUACUGUUCUGAUUUUUGAGUUUUUUAAUACUGGUAGCCAAAUUUUGUUCAUUUUCAUGGUUUCCUCCUUUCUGUUGAAGUUUCCCACAUGCUUGUGAAUUUCAGUGGCUUCUCUGUGUAGUCUGGCAUGAUCGUUGUUGGAGUGGUCAAGCAUUUCUGUGUUCUCAAACAAUAUACUGUGUCCAGGUUGGUUCAACAAGUGCUCUGCUAUGGCUGAUUUCUCUGGUUGAGUGAGUCUGCAGUGCCUUUCAUGUUCUUUGACUCGUGUUUGGGCACUGCGUUUGGUGGUCCCUAUGUAGACUUGUCCACAGCUGCAUGGUAUAUGGUAGACUCCUACAGAGGUGAGAGGAUCCCUCUUGUCCUUCGCUGACCAUAGCAUUUUUUGGAUUUUCUUUGUGAGUCUGUAGAUAGUUUGUAGGUUGUGCUUCUUCAUCAGUUUGCCUAUGCGGUCAGUGGUUCCCUUGAUGUAUGGUAAGAACACCUUUCCUCUGGGUGGAUCUUUGUCUUGACUCUCAUGGCUUGUUCUUGGCCUUGCAGCUCUUCUGAUGUCUUUGGUGGAGUAUCCAUUCGCCUGUAGAGCACAGUUUAGGUGGUUUAGUUCAUCUUGGAGGAGAUGAGGUUCGCAGGAGAUAAUACUUCUAGAACAUGGCCAUACAGCCCGGAAAACAUACAACAACCCUGUGAUCCUGGCCAUGAAAGCCUUCGACAACACAUGUUCCUGUCGUUGAAACAGUCCUGAUUUAUGAUAUUGGAAGGGGUGAGGGGGAAUAACCGGUGAAAACGAGGAAAUGGUUUUCAGCUAUCAGCUCCCUCCUUCCUUAAAAUGAAGUAUCCUUCUCUCUCUCUAGCACCCGCUAGUGACCUCCCCCUAGUGGUCUCCAAUCUGAUAAUGGAAGAGUACUGUAAAUUCAAAUGCUAUGUAGUAAAUUUGAUGUCUUGAAGAACAGCCCUUCUAACAAAAAAACAUACUGUCCUAGUACUUUAACAUAACAGAAUUUAGAAUUUUUACAUAUAAUGGACUCACAGUAUAUGUGCAUAGUUUGUAUAUACACAGUAGAGUUGUCAAACCUGAAGAUCUAGCUCCAAAUCUCCAGGUUUCAUGGGUCAUCACCAAAUUUGAGAUGAAGAUGCAAUUCUCCAGUUUUGUAGGAAAGAGCUAUGUGAAAAUCUCCAGAUCAGCUAGUAUAAUAGCAGCUUGCUACAAUUUCCAAGGCUUAAUUCAUUUUUGCUGCAACUUCAAAAGAUUCUCCAAGGGUAUGUGCAUUUACUUAGUUAGCUUCCUCCUUCCCUUCCAGGUCUUGUGGUAACAGGUCUCAGCCUCUAUUCUGAUCUGGAACUACUUUCUGGCUAGGAACAUAAGUGUGUGUGUGUGCAGGCUUAGGUUAAAUGGUAUACAUCCUAUCUCCCUAAAAACAUAUGAAGAAGAAAGAAAUCCUUUCAUUUCAUCUCAUCCUGGGAUGAUCAGAUGAGAUUUUGCUUUUAAUUUCCAAAUGGAAAUAUUCUCUUUGUAUAUGAAUUACCAGCUGAGAGCAGUUGUGCUUGAUACUUAAUGCAUAACAUUCUAUGACAUCAGUAAGCUUUCUGUGGGGAGAGAGAUAUUUCUUGAAGUAUUAGUUCAUACAAAAAUCCCUGUAGAAAUAGAGAUGGCUAAGGAUUUCACUUGGUUUGCAUUUUUAACAAUUGACCAAAAUUCACAUUUUAUCUCAGAAAUGAGACGUGUGUGUGUGUGUAACCACGAGAUAAGGUAAAACUGGCAGAACAAUUCAUAUCUAGGAUUGGGGUUUUUUUUUUCUUGGUCUGUAUCUACUCCAGACAAAAUACUCUGGAGUAGUCUGCUCCAGAGCUGUCCAAGAUACAGCAUGAGUAUGGUGCAGAAGCACACGGAAGCCCUUUUGCAGUCCACAUGGU